Molecule: RNA transcript, 2116 nt
Organism: Nicotiana tabacum (common tobacco)
Lineage: Eukaryota; Viridiplantae; Streptophyta; Magnoliopsida; Solanales; Solanaceae
Source: RefSeq, a predicted model, not a curated record
UCGAGACUCGCUAAGUUUGCCCAACUGAAAAGCCUUAGGGCACUUUUAAAAAGAAAAAAAAAUCAAUACAUUCAUAAGUUGUUUGUAUAGCUCUCCAAUUACAAUGGCGAAUUCCUCUAGAAGGCUGAGAUCGGCGUUUGAGAGGUCAAUCUCACCUACCGGCCGGUUCUGCAACACCAUGGCGGCAACUGAUGCGACGUCGUUCGCUUCGUACAGGACCUCUAGCUUUUAUUCGUCUCAAUCGUCAGGUUGUUUCAACCGAUCGGCUUCUCCGACGCGCGUGAAUCUCCACGCGCUGGCGCCGAUGAAUUCUACGCCUAGCGUUAAGUUCUCCAUAGAUAGAUCUAGCUCUCCUCGCCGUUCCGUGGCAGUGUCUCAGCGUGAUCAGGUGGUUCGGAAGCUGAUUCCGAAAAGGACGUGCUUGUGCUCUCCGACGACGCAUCCUGGUUCGUUCAGGUGUAGUAUGCAUAAGAAUAUGAGAAAUACUCCUUCGAUUUCGUAUUCACCUAGCCGAUUGAAUGCUCGGCGAUCGGCGAUGACGAACUCACUGGUGCGAAUCUGGUCUGUUGAAGGUGAUUUAGUAAAACGAGCUCUGGCAGCUCUUAUUAGGCCUUCUUCGCAUCAUCAGAGACGUCGAGGUGACUUUCAACCGCGUCCUAGCCGGCUUUCCAGAAUGUCCAAAGUAUAACCUAUGGAAAAGUUUCCGUUUCCGUGGUUACAGGUUGGUGAUUUUCAUAUAUUAUCUGAAGCUCAUCUCCUGAGAGUUCUCCGGCGAUGGUGUCAGAUUCCAGCUGCUGUUUUUACUACUCCGACGAAACGAAAGCUAUGGCAAUUUUGAUACACUUUUGUAUUUCCCGUCGUGUUCGGCGUUCAUCGUUCCAUUAUGCUUUGGCGUUUCCCGUUCGUUCGCCGUAUCUGCGUUCCGGCGUUCGUCGUGCUUUAGCAUCUGUUCAUCAUCUUUCGUCCAAGGUUUGGGUUUCAUAUUCAGGUUUGGUAACUUUUACCUUGACUUGGAAUCUAUGGAGGGGAGAUGUAAGAAGGAUGUUAAAUUCAAAGUGAUUUGGAACUUACUGGACAAAUAAAAGGAUCAUGAAAUAAACUCCAGAAAAAUCUUUUGAUAAAAAUGAAAAUAAUAGGCUAAAACGGUAAAAUUAUAAAUCUAAAAAUUACAAAAGCUACUUUUUUCUGCUUUUUUUAAAAUUAUUUGUGUUUCUCAUCAAAAAAUUUUUCUUUCAAAAACUUCGCCAAACAUCUGAAUUUUAAAAAAAGUAGUUUUGGAUUGAAAAAAUUUGGUCAAACAGUCUAGUAGACGUUAUCCCUAUUGUAUGUGAGUUAGAGUACAUCGAGAAAAAAGCUAAGAUACAAAUACGAAAAAGAACCAUAACAGAAAAAUCUAAUGGAAAUUGAUUAAGGGAAUCGGACAGUAAUAAAAGCAACAAAAUGGGAGACAGGCUGGACGUUGGUGUCUAUGGCCUAUUUUUAUGAUGAUGGUAGGUCCUACGCAUGAGCCUUUUCAAACAUGGUGAACAGGUAAUAUGGACCUUCUAGUAGUCACUCUGUCGAAGGAAGCACUGGAGUUGAUGAAAACAUUGCAGCAACGAUGAAAUUAUUUUUGUUUGACUUAUAGGUUAUAAUUAAUUUCGAACCGUAAAAUUACCAUUAUAAUUAUAUUAGAAUAACUUAUUAUAUUUUUAAAGUGUGACUCUUUCCCAAAUCACGCAUAAAUGCAAAAUGGCUCUGUACAGCUUCUCUAUAAUCACUUUAUUGCCAGGAUGGCUGGAGGCUCGGUGGCACUUUGAAGGAAGAUAGGAAAGGAGGAGUGAGCCGUCAUGAAAGUUUGAAACUGACAAUAGCUAAUGCUUAAAUGACAAAAUAGGUCCUGAAAAGUUCCAACUUCGUGAUCCCUUUUUCUUCGUAUUCUUUCAAAAUCCUACUCGUGAAAAAAAGAAAAAACAGCCCUGAAAAAUACUUCAUAUACCAAACACUUGUGAUACAAAAGUCAUGAUGGGCUCGGGAAUUACGAGAAUACAACUAAUAAUUUUUGUUCACCCACACUAAGUUUUAUUUUUACCUGAAUUACAAAGAAUACGGAAGUGAUGGGGAAAAGUUUACUCAA